UGGGGUGUAGCCAAGCGGUAAGGCGACUGGUUUUGGUCCAGUUAUCCGAGGGUUCGAAUCCUUCCACCCCAGCCA
RNAcentral lists this transfer RNA (75 nucleotides) under Pseudomonadota bacterium. RNAcentral describes it as "Proteobacteria bacterium tRNA-Gln". It matches the Rfam family "tRNA". Rfam says of the family: Transfer RNA (tRNA) molecules are approximately 80 nucleotides in length. Their secondary structure includes four short double-helical elements and three loops (D, anti-codon, and T loops). Further hydrogen bonds mediate the characteristic L-shaped molecular structure. tRNAs have two regions of fundamental functional importance: the anti-codon, which is responsible for specific mRNA codon recognition, and the 3' end, to which the tRNAs corresponding amino acid is attached (by aminoacyl-tRNA synthetases). tRNAs cope with the degeneracy of the genetic code in two manners: having more than one tRNA (with a specific anti-codon) for a particular amino acid; and 'wobble' base-pairing, i.e. permitting non-standard base-pairing at the 3rd anti-codon position. Lineage: Bacteria; Pseudomonadati; Pseudomonadota. RNAcentral also lists the same sequence under 2 other names. The record is from RNAcentral.